AAAAAAAAAAAGGAAGAAGCAGAUCAUGCUCAUGCCUUGGCUUUGUUUUUGAUUAUUUAAAGUGAAAAUAAUACAAAUAAUUGAGGAGUUUAAGGAAAAUGGUGGUUGUGGUUGUUGUACCAUGAUUCUUCUUCUCCAAAUCAUGGUAAUGUCUCCCAUGACCCCAAUAAGCCCUAAGAAAUUUAGAGAAAUAAAACUGAUAUUAAUUGUUAAAUGGCAUGACAAAUUCAGAGCAAAGUCUUGUCAGCUCCUCGCAAUUCCAUGCUCAAUCACUUGCCGGUUAAAAAGAAGCCAAUCUUAAACUAAUGACCCACCCAAACAAACACACCAAUCUUUCUCAUAAGCCAUUAGAUUAAAAAAUAAUAAUAAUUAACAUUUGAAAAGCAAAGCCCACCUAAAAAUUUUAUGGUGAAUAAUAUCAUCGCCAAGGAAAGAAAGAAAUAGUAGUCCAGGGAGUGUGCGGUUUGUUUGCUGUCAGAAAAGCUAAAAGCUAAAAGCUAAAAGCUAAAAGCUCAAAGAAGCAAAGUGGGGGGAGAUGGGGAAAAGCACUUCGUAUUUUUAAGUUGGUGAAUUGCGAGUUGAGUGACCCGCUCGAGAGAGAGAGAGAGAGAGAGAGAGAG
RNAcentral lists this long non-coding RNA (620 nucleotides) under Citrus sinensis (sweet orange). Its description in RNAcentral is "long non-coding RNA (CSIN_LNC005766)". Lineage: Eukaryota; Viridiplantae; Streptophyta; Magnoliopsida; Sapindales; Rutaceae. The record is from RNAcentral.